AUUGAACGCUGGCGGCAGGCCUAACACAUGCAAGUCGAACGAGCGGCGGACGGGUGAGUAAUGUCUGGGAAACUGCCUGAUGGAGGGGGAUAACUACUGGAAACGGUAGCUAAUACCGCAUACCAUCAGAUGUGCCAAGAUGGGAUUCGCUAGUAGGUUGGGUAAUGGCUCACCUAUGCGACGAUCCCUAGCUGGUCUGAGAGGAUGACCAGCCACACUGGAACUGAUACACGGUCCAGACUCCUACGGGAGGCAUCAGGGGGGAAUAUUGCACAAUGGGCGCAAGCCUGAUGCAGCCAUGCCGCGUGUGUGAAGAAGGCCUUCGGGUUGUAAAGCACUUUCAGCGAGGAGGCGUUACUCGCAGAAGAAGCACCGGCUAACCCCGUGCCAGCAGCCGCGGUAAUUC
Molecule: ribosomal RNA, 406 nt
Filed under: uncultured bacterium
Lineage: Bacteria
Description: partial 16S ribosomal RNA
Rfam family: Bacterial small subunit ribosomal RNA
Source: RNAcentral